Molecule: long non-coding RNA, 387 nt
Organism: Clupea harengus (Atlantic herring)
Lineage: Eukaryota; Metazoa; Chordata; Actinopteri; Clupeiformes; Clupeidae
Source: Ensembl
ACAUUUCUCUGCUGAAGUAAGAGUAUAUGGAGCUGGUGAGGUGGAUGCUGGUGCUGCUGGUGGGGUGGAGGCUGGUGGGAUGGAGGCUGGUGCUGCUGGUGGGGUGGAGGCCGGCGAUGCUUGACCUGCUGUUGUGGCUGGUACUGCAGAGGUUGCGGAGACUGGGCCCAAUGAUGCACCGAUUUUGUGGGGGAUUCGGGGCUGCUCCACCUUUGCAAGCUGAAGGUGGUCUACAUUAACUUUAUUUUAUGACAGUCCCACCUUCAGCCAGCAGAUCUGCACUUUUCCCCUGAAGUGCCACCACGGUGAAAGGGCCAAGAAAGUUUGGCUCCAGCUUUCCACCUUUCCUCUGCUGACUCCUCACAUUCUGCCUCCACACCUUGUCCC